Molecule: long non-coding RNA, 1032 nt
Organism: Bombus terrestris (buff-tailed bumblebee)
Lineage: Eukaryota; Metazoa; Arthropoda; Insecta; Hymenoptera; Apidae
Exons: 4
Source: RefSeq, a predicted model, not a curated record
AAUUUUUAGAUUACGACGUUUAUCUUAUUCGCGUAACAGAACUUCUUUCGCGUGUCUAUGCACCUUGUAAAAUAUAACUGUACUUUCAUAUCGUGAAUUAUGAAUUUAGGAUACGGAAAAUCAAGACAGAUGCGUAUCUAUGGAAUUUCAUUACAUCGAAUAAGUAGCCCAACCCAUAAAUAAAUCAGGCAAACGGGGAGAAUGACUAACGCAAGAUUACGCGACCCAUCGACCACUUUCGGCCCACGCUAUUUUAUCACAUUUUUAAUCCGAUCUUCGUACAUAUAAGAUGAUCACGAUAUUUGCAAGACGAUAUGAAUUAAUAUUUUAAUCGCUCGUUGCAAUCAUUAUGAAAUGUAUGCACAAAUCACACAAUGCCAGAUGAAGAAUUAAAUUGAUAUUCCACAUUAGAGAGCUAGAGCUUACUUAAUUUUCUCUAAACAUGUUACAUUUUUAAACACAAAUUUUGAAAGUUAUAGUUUACUGCAUAUGUCAUUUUCUUACUAUUGCACAUCUGCAGUAGUAUGUUUUAUUUCUCUGUUCUAACAUUAAACGUCAUGAAUAUUAAUCAAAGGUGACUAAUUCUAAUGUACGUACACUCCCUGUAUAGAAUUAUAAUGUACUGGAAAAAAUAGUCUUAUCAAUGUCUUACUAUCUUCAUUUGGACGACAGUUACAAAUAUCUUUUUCUUGCAAAAUUGUUAUAAAAGUUUAAAUAAAAAAUUAUGAAUAUACAUUUUUUACAAGUGUAUGAAAAAAAUUGUAUACGCAAUUUUUUGCAACAUUCAGUAGGGAAUGUUUUGUAUCAAAGUAAUAAAGAAAUAUUUUUCUAAAACAUAUCCAUAAAAACAAUGCAAAGAUAUUUAAAUAAGUUGUGAUACUCAUUUGCACGCGACAUAUAUAAUUCAGUUGGAUAUAUUUUACAUUCAUAACAUAAAAUGAUUUGUGAGGUAUAUACUGUACAUUUAGUACAAAUUCAUAAAAGGACUUAAGUAAAAUAACAUUCAUUGCAAUAUAUCUAUCUGUAAAUCGA